UGAGCGACCUACCUAAUUGUGGGGGAUAGCCGGCCCAACGGCCGGGUAAUACCGCAUACGAUCGGAGAGGGGCAUCCCUUUCUGAGGAAAGCCUUCGGGCGCAAUUCGAGGGGCUCGCGGCCUAUCAGCUAGUUGGCGGGGUAACGGCCCACCAAGGCGACGACGGGUAGCUGGUCUGAGAGGAUGGCCAGCCACAUUGGGACUGAGAUACGGCCCAGACUCCGUACGGGAGGCAG
Molecule: ribosomal RNA, 236 nt
Filed under: uncultured bacterium
Lineage: Bacteria
Description: partial 16S ribosomal RNA
Rfam family: Bacterial small subunit ribosomal RNA
Source: RNAcentral